Transfer RNA from Felis catus (domestic cat), 85 nucleotides. It matches the Rfam family "tRNA". From Rfam's summary of the family: Transfer RNA (tRNA) molecules are approximately 80 nucleotides in length. Their secondary structure includes four short double-helical elements and three loops (D, anti-codon, and T loops). Further hydrogen bonds mediate the characteristic L-shaped molecular structure. tRNAs have two regions of fundamental functional importance: the anti-codon, which is responsible for specific mRNA codon recognition, and the 3' end, to which the tRNAs corresponding amino acid is attached (by aminoacyl-tRNA synthetases). tRNAs cope with the degeneracy of the genetic code in two manners: having more than one tRNA (with a specific anti-codon) for a particular amino acid; and 'wobble' base-pairing, i.e. permitting non-standard base-pairing at the 3rd anti-codon position. Lineage: Eukaryota; Metazoa; Chordata; Mammalia; Carnivora; Felidae. The record is from Rfam.
GCCCGAGUGGCUCGGUCGGUUAAGUGUCCGACUUUGGCUCAGGUCAUGAUCUCCCGGUUCGUGGGUUCAAGCCCCGCUUCGGGCU